CGCAUGGGGAAGCGGUCUCCCCGUUAGGCAGCAUGCCCAAGAAUCGCGUCCGGUUUUCCGAGAAGGACGCUCCAUG
RNAcentral lists this non-coding RNA (76 nucleotides) under unclassified sequences. RNAcentral describes it as "chrB RNA". It matches the Rfam family "chrB-a RNA". The record is from RNAcentral.